AUGGUUGCAACAGUCAGAGCUGUGCUGAUCCGAAGCCAGGAGCCAGGAGCUUCCUCCGGGUCUCCCACGCAGGUGCAGGGCCCCAGCACUUGGUCCAUCUUCCAUUGCUUCCCAGGCCACAGCAGAGAGCGGGAUGGGAAGUGGAGCGGCCGGGGCAGGACCAGCACCCCCGUGGGAUCCUGGCGCUGCAGACAGUGCAGCUUUACCUGCUAUGCCGCUGGCCUCCUGGGCUGUCUUUCGAUACAGUUUAUUAAUUUACAGAACAGACAAGAACUUCAGGAACAACUGAAGCUGGCUUUUAUAAACUCACUCACUGGGAGGCUCAGAGGGCAGGGCAGGCCAGUCCUCUCCCGGCUGAGCUCCCUGGACAGCCAGAACACUGAAAACCACCCCGCUGUUCCCCGCCCACAGCUCUGGGACACUUCCGCUGAGACGUUUGCUCAGAACUCCAGAAACCAAGCACCUGGCUCUGUGUCACCUGUUCCCCUGGAGAACACUGGGGGCCCUGGUGAGGGAGGCCAGGCGCGGGGCAAGACGCACACGCAGCGUUCCGGCUGCAUCCGGAAGUCAGCAGAUGAGCCACUGCCCAGAGACCACCGGACCCCUCCCCGAGACCUGGACCUCAAAUGCAGGGAUCGCUCUGCUCUGCCCCCCCCCCCAGGUUUCUGGAGGGCGAGUCAGCCAGGCCAGCUAGUCCCAAACAAACAGCACAGGCAGGGGUGGGGGGUCCCCAGAACAGACUCCCGCAGCCCGGCGCUCUCCACUGAGUGCGCUAACCUGCCUGGCUCAGCACAAACUACAGCCCACCAGCAAGUCGGCCGGGAACAGGCCUGGGGCCGACGGGCAAGGCAAGGCACCCCUGAGGGGCAUGAUGGGCCAGUGGCCAGGUGGGGUCCUGCACGGCCCCUCCACAGCCAGACGGCGAGGCUGCCAGGACUGCCCACAGGCACGGCACCAGCUCCGUUAGAAGGCGAGUGUGCACCCGGCCACAGCUCAGCCACGCCCAGCUCUGAGCUGUCAAAAGGUCAGCUGCCCGAGCUGCACGGUUGUUACCAUUGUCCAGUGGGUGGGGAGCCAGUCUGGGCGCCGUGGUUUUGUCAAAGCCAGCAGAACACAAGACAAAAGUACAGGGAGGCUGAGUGCCCCGAGCCCACAUGGGCUGGGUCCCUCGGAGACUUAUCGCCAGGGAUCAGGGCGGGUCCACGGAACAGGAACACCCACGGAUGUGAGGUGGCCCGAGACAGAGUACAGUCGAGCUCCCACCCCCAUCACCCCGCCCCACACGAAGCCUGGGCCACUUGCUUUGCCUCUGGCUGCCUGGUUCCAUUUUUUACCUGGAACCUGUCUUCCCUGCUGUGA
RNAcentral lists this long non-coding RNA (1359 nucleotides) under Oryctolagus cuniculus (rabbit). RNAcentral's name for it is "lncRNA (ENSOCUG00000035747.1)". Lineage: Eukaryota; Metazoa; Chordata; Mammalia; Lagomorpha; Leporidae. The record is from RNAcentral.